AGGUGAAGUUGAGGGACCGGAAGAGGAGGUGGGGCCGUCUUCAUCUUCAUGGCACCAUGCUUGCAAACCGACAGGGGGUGUGGCCAUGUGGUGUGGGCGGGGCCUCUGACUCAGCUGAGAGGAGAAAACACAUGGCUAACCUAAACCAGGAUUCUGGACCAGACUGGAAGCCUGUUAUUUAGAAGUUUCACGAGUACCCUCCAAGACUGGUCCCCACAGGAGCAUCAAUACAUGAACACACACACACACACACACACACUCAGAGGAGGCCUGACCAGCGUGGGCCCCAGGCUCAGCGUGGGCCCCGGGGUCAGCCGGGCGCCGAGUCCCUCGCAGACGGCAGAGAGGAAGGAGAGCAGCGCCCCCUGCUGGCCGGCGGGGAGCAGCAGCGGCGGGCGCAGGCGAAUGCAGCUGAGCGGGUACCUGCACCUGGCUGAGGAAGCGUGCCGACACUUUGGCGUGACCUUUGACCUUGGCCAGCGGGGAAGGAUACGUGAAGAGUCUGUGGCCCAGAGGCAGGAAGCGCACGCUGCAGUAGACCAGCUCCGAGUCCGAGAGCUCAGGCAGCCGGUAGCCGUACUAGAGUGGUCACAUGGCUCAGGCCAGGCGGUCAUAAUGUGAGGGCAGUGUGUCAGUACCAAGCGGCUCCAGUGGUGCUGCAGCUCCCUAUAGGACUGGAAGGGUCCGUGGGUGGGCAGCUGCCGGCUGACGCUCACCACCUGGCCCCGCUUCAUGCUGAGCACAGGCACACAGACAACACUGACCUCUAGCGGCCGCCGUUUGGCAUCAUGUCGCAUCACUGCCAACAGAGGCCGAGAGUGUCCGCCGCAAGUUCGGGGACUGGAACCGGAUGUUAGAAACACGCGUGCGCAAGCUCUACAAAUUGUGUUUACUGGUUAUAUGGCGUAAGGUUGUGGGGUUUUCUUUGAAUAGUUAGUCAAAAGAAUCUAUAACAGUAAAACCUGGAAAAGUUUCUUUUUUUACGCGCAUGUGUCAGUAGGAUCUGGUCCGUCUGCCUGAUGAUGAUGGUGCUGGAGCAGGAAGUUACCGACUGACCGGCACACAUGCAAUUAUGUGAAUUGAUUAUUUGUUAAUAUUAAAAUAAUCUAUAUUUGUCAUUGUAAUCUGGAGAUUGUCCAUUUCUAUCUGCUAUUAAAUUUUUUAAUCCAGUGUUAUUGAGUCAUCCAUCAUUUCAAACCCCUCCGGCACAUUAGACCUGAGCUGCGCAUGGCCUCCGAUACAAUAGGGAGUGUGUGGGAAACAUUUGUCUCGUAUUGAUUUAACAGGAGCAGGAGGGAGCUCAUCUGCCCCUGAACCAGGUUUAUGUCGACCGUGGUGCGGCGCUUCAGUCCGUCGAUGUCGUUGGAUUAAAAAAAAACAAAAAACUAGAUCAUAUAAAAGAUACAAUUUCUUCAUCUAGACUCUAGAAGUAAAGUUCAUCGCCUGCGCGCAAUAUAACCACGGACGCAUGCGCUUACCGGUAAAGGUCAGUUGGUAAAACAUGCACAACUUCCGGUUCCAGCGCCAGAACUUCCGCCGUGUCACUGCCAGAUGCGGUCCGCCGGAAGUUCCGGGUCUGGAACCGGAUGUUAGUAACACGCACGCGCAGGGUCUACGAAUUGUGUUUACUGGUUAUAUUGCGUAAAGUGGUGGGUUUUUUUAAAUAGUUGUUAAAAUAGUGUAUAUUUAACAUUAAAAUCUGGAAAUGAUACAUUUUAGGCGCAUGUGCAAGUACGCAGUAUUCACUGUGUACGCGUCCAAGUUUUGAGCGUAAUGACGUCACCACGUCGUCACAGUCAAACGUUCUUGUUGCAGCAGGUUCAGUUCUACUUGUGUCCGUCAAGUUUCACCUGCUUCAAAUGAUGAAGAGAUUUUCUCUGAAACGGAAUCAUUGACUGCAGCCUGUCAAAGCGCCAGAGGAAAGACAUACGCCGUUCAUCAUGCAGUUUUGCAUUGAAAGCUCUGAUAAUUGCACGGUUUUAACUCGCGAAAUUUGUCCUUUUCAAAAUACAAAUGACGGUGUUCGUAUUUCAAAUGCCUUGUUUUAAUGUUCAGUAUCAUUAUUGUAAUUCACUGUGCACUUGAUACUUUUUUUAAACUUUUGUUUUAUUUGUAUUUACUUAGUUUUCAGUGUCCGACUUCAAUGAAAAUAGUUCAACCCUGCUUAUGAAUUGAAUGUAUACACUUCAAUAUACUGAUGUACUCUAUAAUUGGUCUGAUAGAUGGAUGGUGUAAAGUCAUGAACAUUUUCAAGGCUUCUCCACUGACUGAGGGACUGAUGAAGGAUGUCAAAUCUAAAGCUGAAUCUCAUCAUGGCUUUGACCAGACGGCAGCUUGUUCUAUACGGGAUCCCACCCACAAUAGCUCCGGUGAGUGGUGUUGUCCGAGGAAGAAAAGAGGUCCAUGAGCAGCGUGGAAGAGGAAACCAUGGAGGUUUGAGGGCGAGCAGAGACAGGCUUGUUUCUGGAUCCACCAUGUUCCAUGGCUCUGGAGCUGUCCUCAACAAUCGUCCACAAACCACUGUGGCGUUCUGAUGAUCAUGGCGUGGCCAGUGCUUUGCCUGCUGGACACCAGAGGCUGUCGACCGGAGGGUGGACUUGAGCCUCUUCUUCGGCUGCCUCGCAGAAAGAUCAGCAGCAAGACACUUUGGGUCAUUGAGUCAUGGCAAAAAUCUGGCUUCAUCAACAGUGUCAUUCCAAUUGAUGGUAUUUGACUGGCUCACAGGAUCAGGCCAGAACUGGACAGGAUCUCCACCUGGCUGUGCAGUGGAUACAUGAAAAUCCAGGCAUAACAUUAGUGGAGAACUGAAGAGACCCACUUUCCAUGCCAUGUCUAACAAUGAGCAGAAAGAGGCAGUGAGACGUCUGCUGGAGGCCAAUGACAGUGGCGAUAACCAUGAUGUCAUCAGUGCCAGGCAUCCUGUCAUGUUUGUGGUGAACUGCAUGGAGGAUAUGCGAGUGUUGUGGCGUGAAUGUUGGGAUCAGAGAGGCUUGAAGGUGAAUGUGUUCAAGCCGAUAGUAAGUAGGUGCAUGUUGUCUGUUUCAUCUGUUGAAUUCUGUUCAGUCCAAAUGUUUGGUGGCUGUAGAUGAAGUU
This is a long non-coding RNA of Synchiropus splendidus (mandarinfish), 3093 nucleotides long. RefSeq lists it as uncharacterized. NCBI's taxonomy places the organism in Eukaryota, Metazoa, Chordata, Actinopteri, Syngnathiformes, Callionymidae. The transcript is spliced from 3 exons. The record is from RefSeq and is a predicted model, not a curated record.